RNAcentral lists this ribosomal RNA (513 nucleotides) under uncultured Glomeromycotina. Its description in RNAcentral is "SSU rRNA". It matches the Rfam family "Eukaryotic small subunit ribosomal RNA", at positions 569 to 1088 of the family's 1831-position model. The record is from RNAcentral. Lineage: Eukaryota; Fungi; Glomeromycota.
AGCAGCCGCGGUAAUUCCAGCUCCAAUAGCGUAUAUUAAAGUUGUUGCAGUUAAAAAGCUCGUAGUUGAAUUUCGGGGUUAGUAGAUUGGUCAUGCCUCUGGUAUGCACUGGUCUUACUGAUUCCUCCUUCCUGAUGAACCGUAAUGCCAUUAAUUUGGUGUUGCGGGGAAACUGGACUGUUACUUUGAAAAAUUGAGUGUUUAAAGCAGGCUAACGCUUGAAUACAUUAGCAUGGAAUAAUGAGAUAGGACGUUCGAUCUUAUUUUGUUGGUUUCUAGGAUUGACGUAAUGAUUAAUAGGGAUAGUUGGGGGCAUUAGUAUUCAAUUGUCAGAGGUGAAAUUCUUGGAUUUAUUGAAGACUAACUACUGCGAAAGCAUUUGCCAAGGAUGUUUUCAUUAAUCAAGAACGAAGUUAGGGAUCGAAGACGAUCAGAUACCGUCGUAGUCUUAACCAUAAACUAUGCCGACUAGGGAUCGGAUGAUGUUAAUUUUAUGUACUCAUUCGCGUACCG